CAUUAUACAGCGAAACUGCGAAUGGCUCAUUAAAUCAGUUAUCGUUUAUUUGAUAGUACCCUACUACAUGGAUAACCGUGGUAAUUCUAGAGCUAAUACAUGCUAAAAAUCCCGACUUCGGAAGGGAUGUAUUUAUUAGAUUAAAAACCAAUGCCCUUCGGGGCUUCCUGGUGAUUCAUAAUAACUUCUCGAAUCGCACGGCCUUGCGCCGGCGAUGGUUCAUUCAAAUUUCUGCCCUAUCAACUUUCGACGGCUGGGUCUUGGCCAGCCGUGGUGACAACGGGUAACGGAGGGUUAGGGCUCGACCCCGGAGAAGGAGCCUGAGAAACGGCUACUACAUCCAAGGAAGGCAGCAGGCGCGCAAAUUACCCAAUCCCGACACGGGGAGGUAGUGACAAUAAAUACUGAUACAGGGCUCUUUUGGGUCUUGUAAUUGGAAUGAGUACAAUUUAAAUCCCUUAACGAGGAACAAUUGGAGGGCAAGUCUGGUGCCAGCAGCCGCGGUAAUUCCAGCUCCAAUAGCGUAUAUUAAAGUUGUUGAGGUUAAAAAGCUCGUAGUUGAACCUUGGGCCUAGCCGACCGGUCCGCCUCACCGCGUGCACUGGUUCGGUUGGGCCUUUCCUUCUGGAGAACCUCAUGCACUUCACUGUGUGUGUUGGGGAACCAGGACUUUUACUCUGAACAAAUUAGAUCGCUUAAAGAAGGCCUAUGCUCGAAUACAUUAGCAUGGAAUAAUAGAAUAGGACGUGUGGUUCUAUUUUGUUGGUUUCUAGGACCGCCGUAAUGAUUAAUAGGGACAGUCGGGGGCAUCAGUAUUCAAUUGUCAGAGGUGAAAUUCUUGGAUUUAUUGAAGACUAACUACUGCGAAAGCAUUUGCCAAGGAUGUUUUCAUUAAUCAGGAACGAAAGUUAGGGGAUCGAAGACGAUCAGAUACCGUCGUAGUCUUAACCAUAAACUAUGCCGAUUAGGGAUCGGGCGGUGUUAUUUUUUGACCCGCUCGGCACCUUACGAUAAAUCAAAAUGUUUGG
Molecule: ribosomal RNA, 1028 nt
Filed under: Ramophialophora sp.
Lineage: Eukaryota; Fungi; Ascomycota; Sordariomycetes; Sordariales
Description: SSU rRNA
Rfam family: Eukaryotic small subunit ribosomal RNA
Source: RNAcentral